AACGAACGCUGGCGGCAUGCCUAACACAUGCAAGUCGAACGAGAUCUUCGGGUCUAGUGGCGCACGGGUGCGUAACGCGUGGGAAUCUGCCCUUUGGUUCGGAAUAACAGUUGGAAACGACUGCUAAUACCGGAUGAUGACGAAAGUCCAAAGAUUUAUCGCCAGAGGAUGAGCCCGCGUAGGAUUAGCUAGUUGGUGUGGUAAAGGCGCACCAAGGCGACGAUCCUUAGCUGGUCUGAGAGGAUGAUCAGCCACACGGGGACUGAGACACGGCCCAGACUCCUACGGGAGGCAGCAGUGGGGAAUAUUGGACAAUGGGCGAAAGCCUGAACCAGCAAGGCCGCGUGAGUGAAGAAGGCCUUAGGGUUGUAAAGCUCUUUUACCCGGGAUGAUAAUGACAGUACCGGGGGAAUAAGCUCCGGCUAACUCCGUGCCAGCCGCCGCCGUAA
RNAcentral lists this ribosomal RNA (449 nucleotides) under uncultured bacterium. RNAcentral describes it as "partial 16S ribosomal RNA". It matches the Rfam family "Bacterial small subunit ribosomal RNA", at positions 29 to 523 of the family's 1533-position model. The record is from RNAcentral.